RNAcentral lists this transfer RNA (75 nucleotides) under Tessaracoccus sp. ZS01. RNAcentral describes it as "tRNA-Val". It matches the Rfam family "tRNA". From Rfam's summary of the family: Transfer RNA (tRNA) molecules are approximately 80 nucleotides in length. Their secondary structure includes four short double-helical elements and three loops (D, anti-codon, and T loops). Further hydrogen bonds mediate the characteristic L-shaped molecular structure. tRNAs have two regions of fundamental functional importance: the anti-codon, which is responsible for specific mRNA codon recognition, and the 3' end, to which the tRNAs corresponding amino acid is attached (by aminoacyl-tRNA synthetases). tRNAs cope with the degeneracy of the genetic code in two manners: having more than one tRNA (with a specific anti-codon) for a particular amino acid; and 'wobble' base-pairing, i.e. permitting non-standard base-pairing at the 3rd anti-codon position. RNAcentral also lists the same sequence under 4 other names. The record is from RNAcentral. Lineage: Bacteria; Bacillati; Actinomycetota; Actinomycetes; Propionibacteriales; Propionibacteriaceae.
GGGCGGUUGGCGCAGUGGUAGCGCGCUUCCCUGACACGGAAGAGGUCGCUGGUUCAAACCCAGUACCGCCCACCA